AAACAUUUUUUUAUGGAUGGCAUAUAAAGUAAGACCUGCCCACUGAAAGUAUAUUUGAAGGGCCGCGGUAUUAUGACCGUGCUAAGGUAGCAUAAUCAUUAGUCUUUUAAUUGAAGAAUGGAAUGAAUGGUUUAACUUACAAAAGUUUUUUUAAAAUAAAAAUUUGAAAUUUAAAUUUAAAUGAAAAUUUUUAAAAGUAUUUAAAAGACGAUAAGACCCUAUAGAGCUUUAUAUUUUUGUUUGAAAUUUAUUGGAAGCUUAAAAUUUUAAUAGUUGAUAUUUUAUUGGGGCAAUAAAAGAAUAAAUUUAACUUCUAUUUAAAAUCUUAAAUUUUAAAAAUUAAAAAGUUACCUUAGGGAUAACAGCGUUAUUAUUAUGGAGAGUUCAUAUCGAUAUAAUAGGUUGCGACCUCGAUGUUGAAUUAAAAAUAUACUUAAGGGCAGUAUUUUGAGUGUAAAGUCUGUUCGACUAGUAAAAUUUUACAUGAUC
This 489-nucleotide ribosomal RNA is filed under the name Callyntrura guangdongensis. RNAcentral describes it as "partial 16S ribosomal RNA". It matches the Rfam family "Bacterial large subunit ribosomal RNA", at positions 1811 to 2605 of the family's 2925-position model. Lineage: Eukaryota; Metazoa; Arthropoda; Collembola; Entomobryomorpha; Paronellidae. The record is from RNAcentral.